Molecule: ribosomal RNA, 253 nt
Filed under: uncultured bacterium
Lineage: Bacteria
Description: partial 16S ribosomal RNA
Rfam family: Bacterial small subunit ribosomal RNA
Source: RNAcentral
GACGAACCGUGCAAGCGUUAUUCGGAAUCACUGGGCAUAAAGCGCACGUAGGCGGCUCUUUAAGUCAGGGGUGAAAUCCUGGAGCUCAACUCCAGAACUGCCUUUGAUACUGAGGGGCUUGAGUCCGGGAGAGGUGAGUGGAACUGCGAGUGUAGAGGUGAAAUUCGUAGAUAUUCGCAAGAACACCAGUGGCGAAGGCGGCUCACUGGCCCGGUACUGACGCUGAGGUGCGAAAGCGUGGGGAGCAAACAGG